This 530-nucleotide ribosomal RNA is filed under the name Nevilleiella marchantii. RNAcentral's name for it is "eukaryotic LSU rRNA". The stretch from base 190 to 343 matches the Rfam family "5.8S ribosomal RNA". The record is from RNAcentral. Lineage: Eukaryota; Fungi; Ascomycota; Lecanoromycetes; Teloschistales; Teloschistaceae.
CGGAAGGAUCAUUACCGAGAGAAGGGUUCCGGCCCUUGGUGCGUAGCGCCUAACUCUUCACCCUGUGUUUACCAACCUUUGUUGCUUUGGCGGGCUGAAGGCUGGCCCCGCGCUUUUGCAUGCGCCCGUCAAAGACCCCUAAAAAAUCAUUGUAUAAGUGUAGUCUGAGCUUCAAAGCAAAUCAAUUAAAACUUUCAACAACGGAUCUCUUGGUUCUGGCAUCGAUGAAGAACGCAGCGAAAUGCGAUAAGUAAUGUGAAUUGCAGAAUUCAGUGAAUCAUCGAAUCUUUGAACGCACAUUGCGCCCCUUGGUAUUCCGAGGGGCAUGCCUGUUCGAGCGUCAUUGCAACCCUCAAGCUCUGCUUGGUAUUGAGCGCUCGCCUUCCCAUCGUAGGGGCGGCGUGCUCGAAAAAUAGCGGCGGUCCUGGAAGACUUCAAGCGCAGUAAUGCCGUCGCUUCGGAAGCUUUCUGCCCGGGACUCGGCCGAGAAGCCCUUACGAUUUUCAAUGAUUGACCUCGGAUCAGGCAGG